GACGAACGCUGGCGGCGUGCCUAAUACAUGCAAGUAGAACGCUGACGAGAGGAGCUUGCUCUUCUUGGAUGAGUUGCGAACGGGUGAGUAACGCGUAGGUAACCUGCCUUGUAGCGGGGGAUAACUAUUGGAAACGAUAGCUAAUACCGCAUAACAAUUGAUGACACAUGUCGUUUAUUUGAAAGGGGCUAUUGCUCCACUACAAAGUGGACCUGCGUUGUAUUAGCUAGUAGGUGAGGUAAUGGCUCACCUAGGCGACGAUACAUAGCCGACCUGAGAGGGUGAUCGGCCACACUGGGACUGAGACAAGGCUCAGCCUCCUUCGGGAGGCAGCAGGAGGGAAACUUCGGCGAGGGGGGCAACUCGGGCCGAGCAACGACGGGUGAGAGGAGAAGGUCUUCGGAUCGUAAAGAGCGGUUGAAAGUCAAGAACGGGAGUGAGAGUUGAAAGGGCACACUGUGACGGUAGCCGACCAGAAAGGGACGGCUAACUACGUG
RNAcentral lists this ribosomal RNA (497 nucleotides) under uncultured bacterium. RNAcentral describes it as "partial 16S ribosomal RNA". It matches the Rfam family "Bacterial small subunit ribosomal RNA", at positions 28 to 507 of the family's 1533-position model. The record is from RNAcentral.